Papilio polytes (common Mormon) is the source of this 169-nucleotide long non-coding RNA. RefSeq lists it as uncharacterized. The transcript has 3 exons. The record is from RefSeq and is a predicted model, not a curated record. NCBI's taxonomy places the organism in Eukaryota, Metazoa, Arthropoda, Insecta, Lepidoptera, Papilionidae.
GUCCCGGUCGUUUCUGAAAAAUCUGAAAAAACCUCGUUUUAACAACAGAGGUGUUGGGGCGAGGAUAUUUUGGCCUAAACGAAGCGUGGAUGAGAGAGACUACACUGGACAUGGUCACGUAUACGACGAUACAAUGCCAGUUAGAUUUACGACUCCAGGGUCAGGAGGA